MicroRNA precursor from Homo sapiens (human), 73 nucleotides. Lineage: Eukaryota; Metazoa; Chordata; Mammalia; Primates; Hominidae. The record is from Ensembl.
GGAUGAUAAGUUAUGGGGCUUCUGUAGAGAUUUCUAUGAGAACAUCUCUAAGGAACUCCCCCAAACUGAAUUC